Molecule: long non-coding RNA, 2313 nt
Organism: Chroicocephalus ridibundus (black-headed gull)
Lineage: Eukaryota; Metazoa; Chordata; Aves; Charadriiformes; Laridae
Exons: 8
Source: RefSeq, a predicted model, not a curated record
AUUUUUCUAAUUUAUUUGUGUGGGAGUUGAAAGAGUCAGGGUGAUGGUUUGUAGGAGCUCCAGGGGGACAAAAGUGUGCAACCAGUGUUGAAGACCAGGCUGUGCCCCUUGAGGAAUUGCAAUGAAAUCACCACAGGGCCCUUCACCUGGCUGAACCUCCUUAUCUCUCCUCAUCUCCCUUCAGCUUUCCCUCACCACCCAGGUUUAAAGCUGAAGGCCAUGAUCACCACACAAAAGAUGAUGGCUGUUACCACGCAGUUUUCACUAUGCCUUUGGUGGAGGCACAAGCAGAGCUGACAGGGGGAUCCAACUACUCCAGGCAGCAUUGAAAACCUAGCCUAGUGUUCUUAAUGCAUUCUUCUUCCAGCUUUAGAUAUAGACAGCAUAAUUGUAAAGAGAUACUGGAAAUUUCUUUGUUUAACAGAGAAUCCAUCUUAAUUACAGGCAGGACUGGACACAGCUUCCGCAAUUGAAAAAAUCAACUGAACUACAGUUUCGACAACGAAUCACCUGAAUUACGAAGGAAAACCAGCAAAAAGAUACCUUUCAACCUUGCAAACCCAAGAGGAGUGCUCGGAAUCCUGUCUGGUAGAAGACCCAUCGUUAUGACCAUCUGGGCAGUGUUUUCUGAAUGGCUGGAUUUCAGCUCUGACAGACACAGAGCAUACAGCACACCGAACACACACAGGAGUAGGAACUGCUGAAGAUAAGGGACUCUGAAGAAACUUCACACAUAAAUAUGAGUUUAUUCUUUUUCCCUAAUGAAAACAGAAGCAAGAGAAUUCUUGAAAGAAGGUCUCUGCCAUUACUUCUCUCCUGGGCUAUUAGCGAUUCAUCUUCCCCCAUCCAUCUGUAUUUUGUGGGCUUCCCAUAUGCUUAAUGCAUUAACUGGGCCUGCCCAUACGGUACCAAUUGGUUUAUGUUUCCUGGGAGAAUUUCUCCCCGUGUUAACUUUGCUUCCAGUCCGCCUGCCAGGCAGCCACAUGCUGGUCAAAUCAACCUCGUCACACUUAAGGGGAUUGCAGGCCAAAGAGGCACAUGAAUAAGUGAAGAGCUACUUCCCAGGCACCCUGGGCUCCGCCAGCAGGCACCAGAGUACAGCAGUCUCUUAUUGUCCAGGCAGUGUUCUCCCCAGAGAAAGAAGCUGAAGACAUCACCCAGAGGCUUUGAAGAUCUGGAUUAUUUUUAUAAAGCAGCAAACACAACAGACUGACUAAUACGCUCCAGGCCCUGGGCCAUAUUCUCAGCUUAAGGGCAACCAAUCCUUCCAGCAGCACACCUCUGCACUGCUGGAAGUGAGGCAAAGAGAGCCUAGGACUGCCCUCAAGGCAAGGGAAUCCCUUGUGCCAUGAGCUGCCGUAGCCAGUUCAGUGCCAUCUGUUCCUCCAUUCUUUCCAGAGGAUGUUCAUGGAGAUGCUGCAGGAGAUGGGGCACGGGUAGUGACUUAGGGAGUCAUUGUAUCUGCUGGCAUUAAAAACAGCCUUUAUGGACACUAGAGUGACACCACACGCUGGUGGUGUCAGACAGACUCACGGACCAGCCCUGGCAGGAGCAGAGAGGUGACUUCAACCCAUGCAAAUCUCUCAUCUUCGUUUUAUGAAGACUUGAGAAUCGAGUCUGGCACAGUGAAAUAACAACAGCCUAUUCCAGUUAUUUAUUAUCUCAUUUUCAAACAAAAGUACACCAAGUAGGUGUUUCAAUUACGAAAAGACUGCGCAUUCACUCCUGGGAAAGGCCUGUCCCUCCACCUGCGAGCACAAUGUUUUGUGUAUUACCAUGCACACACCACACAGAUUAAUGAUGUGUAAUGAGGUGCUGCCUGCACACUUAGGGUCUUACUCUGCACCUGGCUAUAAUUUCGGUACACACAAUCCUAGCUCCUAACACACCGGCUCUGGCUGGAAAGAUGACAGAGUCUCUUUCUCUGUCUCACAGAAAGUUGUGCAAUAGGGCUCAUUUUUGCUGCGUGUUCUCACCACAGCAGGAAACAGCAAAAGCCAUCUGGGAAGGAGGACUGUACAAAGGGAAAUAUGAAGGCAGUAAAAAGAAAAACAGUACUUGGGAAACAUCAGCGACCAGCCAGGUAACACAAGCAGCCUACAGUGAAUUGAAAUAAUGUAAACUGAAGAACAGAUGUCAGAUGCGUGGAAAGUUGCCCUAGAUGCAGAGUAUAAGAAAUGUUAGCAUAAAAUGCCACAGAAAACCCGAAAUGCUAAGGCAAAUCAUAACAUCCUGAUGUAUGCACAUGCUUGCACAUAAAACUGUAAGGGUUAGGGACUCCUGUAUAUAUGACAUUGUUUUGCAACAAUUCAA